CCAAUAGCGUAUAUUAAAGUUGUUGCAGUUAAAAAGCUCGUAGUUGAAUUUCGGGGUUCUACCGUUGGUCGGGCAAUAGUCUGUACUGGCGUGUGGAAUUUCUACCUUCUGGGGAACCAUCAUGUUAUUUAUUUAGCGUGGUGGGAAACCAGGACCUUUACCUUGAAAAAAUUAGAGUGUUCAAAGCAGGCUUACGUCUGAAUACAUUAGCAUGGAAUAAUAAAAUAGGACGGUGGUCCCGUUUUGUUGGUUUCUGAAUCACCGUAAUGAUUAAUAGGGAUAGUUGGGGGCAUUAGUAUUCAAUUGUCAGAGGUGAAAUUCUUGGAUUUAUUGAAGACUAACUUCUGCGAAAGCAUUUGCCAAGGAUGUUUUCAUUAAUCAAGAACGAAAGUUAGGGGAUCGAAGACGAUCAGAUACCGUCGUAGUCUUAACCAUAAACUAUGCCGACUAGGGAUCGGACGAUGUUAAUUUUUCUUGACUCGUUCGGCGCCUUACG
Molecule: ribosomal RNA, 496 nt
Filed under: uncultured Glomeromycotina
Lineage: Eukaryota; Fungi; Glomeromycota
Description: partial small subunit ribosomal RNA
Rfam family: Eukaryotic small subunit ribosomal RNA
Source: RNAcentral